This 101-nucleotide non-coding RNA is filed under the name Clavibacter michiganensis subsp. michiganensis NCPPB 382. Its description in RNAcentral is "mraW RNA". It matches the Rfam family "mraW RNA". The record is from RNAcentral. Lineage: Bacteria; Bacillati; Actinomycetota; Actinomycetes; Micrococcales; Microbacteriaceae.
UUCUGACCCCGGCCCCUGACUCCCAGCCGUCCGACGCCCUGCCGCACUUCCCCGGCGGCAGGUCGGGACGGAUGGGGAUCAGGAGCCGCGGACAGGACAGC